This 338-nucleotide non-coding RNA is filed under the name Ricinus communis (castor bean). RNAcentral describes it as "Eukaryotic large subunit ribosomal RNA". It matches the Rfam family "Eukaryotic large subunit ribosomal RNA", at positions 3052 to 3401 of the family's 3401-position model. The record is from Rfam by way of RNAcentral. Lineage: Eukaryota; Viridiplantae; Streptophyta; Magnoliopsida; Malpighiales; Euphorbiaceae.
UCGCACAAUUGUCAUCGCGCUGGUGAAAGCCAGUGGCGCGAGCUACCGUGCGCUGAUUAUGACUGACGCCUCUAAGUCAGAUCCGGGCCAGAAGCGACGCGUGUCCGCCGCUCGUUUGCCGACCAGCAGUAGGGGCCCUCCGGCCCCCAAAGGCACGUGUCGUUGGCUAAGCCCUCGCGGCGGACGAGCCGCGCGGGCCGCCUUGAAUUACAAUUUCCACCGGGCGGCGGACUGAAUCCUUUGUAGACGACUUAAAUACGCGACGGGGUAUUGUAAGUGGCAGAGUGGCCUUGCUGCCACGAUCCACUGAGAUUCAGCCCUUCGUCGCUCCGAUUCGU